This 361-nucleotide long non-coding RNA is filed under the name Panax ginseng (ginseng). Its description in RNAcentral is "long non-coding RNA (PGIN_LNC009773)". Lineage: Eukaryota; Viridiplantae; Streptophyta; Magnoliopsida; Apiales; Araliaceae. The record is from RNAcentral.
UUCUUCUGUGCUUAGUGAUUCACCUUCACAUGAAUCUAACACUGUUUUUGGUGAAGACUCUAUUCUCUUUUCUUCCAAGGUAGAGUUACUAAUAUGAGUGGUCUUUUCGGACCACCUUGAACUUAAUUUUUGAAAUUCUAGCACACGAAAUAUUUGUUAAUAAGAAGACACCAAAGAAAUAAAAAUCUGAUUGUUUUCAUGAAAUAUUUGAUUGAAACUAACCUUCAUUAUGCAUGAAGUCGGAGUGAAAAUUUUGUUGUGGCUGCUCACGUCUCCCAACAAGGACUAAUGAACAGCCUUUAGGAGCAUUAUCAAAACAGUAUCUUGUAGUUUCUUGUGGAACUCUAAUCACCAGAAAGGC